GAUGAACGCUAGCUACAGGCUUAACACAUGCAAGUCGAGGGGAAACGAUAGAGAAAGCUUGCUUUUUCUAGGCGUCGACCGGCGCACGGGUGAGUAACGCGUAUCCAACCUGCCCAUCACUUGGGGAUAACCUUGCGAAAGUAAGACUAAUACCCAAUGACGUCUCUAGAAGACAUCUGAAGGAGAUUAAAGAUUUAUCGGUGAUGGAUGGGGAUGCGUCUGAUUAGCUUGUUGGCGGGGUAACGGCCCACCAAGGCGACGAUCAGUAGGGGUUCUGAGAGGAAGGCCCCCCACAUUGGAACUGAGACACGGUCCAAACUCCUACGGGAGGCAGCAGUGAGGAAUAUUGGUCAAUGGACGAGAGUCUGAACCAGCCAAGUAGCGUGCAGGAUGACGGCCCUAUGGGUUGUAAACUGCUUUUAUAAGGGAUAAAGUGAGUCUCGUGAGACUUUUUGCAUGUACCUUAUGAAUAAGGACCGGCUAAUUCCGUGCCAGCAGCCG
Molecule: ribosomal RNA, 501 nt
Filed under: uncultured bacterium
Lineage: Bacteria
Description: bacterial SSU rRNA
Rfam family: Bacterial small subunit ribosomal RNA
Source: RNAcentral